CAUAAUCCAGCUCCAAUAAACAUUUGUCCCGUCUUUCUUUCAUGCUUACACCCAAAAGCAACAAAUUCAUCUAGUUGCAUGAUACAUUCCUUUUAUCCACAUAUGAAUGUAGGACUGCCACAAACCAUGCUCCCAAAAACAUGCCUGUUCCACAUUCUCAUUAGUUUAAGGUCGCUUGACAUUAUACAAACCUUAUUCUCAAUUCACACUUCUCAAUAUUACACCAAAUAUCACCAUCUCACGGUACGAAGAGCGCACAUUUUUAUCAGGUAUAAGUAGUCGAAUUAAGAAGGAGAUGAGACUUUUCUUUUGAAGAAGUUUAGUCACAAAUCUCAGGAAGUUGAAUGCUGGCCAAAGGGCUUCAAAUACAUAACGCACUCAUUGUAAAGAGUGUUGAUCAUAUCACCAUCUCACGGGACAAAGGGCGCACAUUUUUAUUAGGUAUCAGUAGUCGAAUUAACUAGGAGAUGAGACUUUUCUUUUGAAGAAGGUCAGUCACAAAUCUCAGGAAGUUGAAUGCUGGCCAAAGGGCUUCAAAUACAUAAUGCACUCAUUGUAAAGAGUGUUGAUCAUAAGCAAAUGCAACAAAACCAGCUAGAUUCUCACACUAAUAAAAAGCAACAAGGAGAACAUCGAAGCACACAAUUUCCAUUGAUGCUUGCCGCCAUAACUAAUGCUUAACAUAGCAUGAUUAAACCAAUCACGAUGGCUAUCCAGGAAAAAAUCGAUGCUAGUGAGCCAAAAGGAGAUCUAACCUUGUUCCAGGAUCAACCAAUUUCAGCAAAGAACUAUUGGGGACAACAACCUCAGACACAGGGGUCUUCAUGGCUCUCUCCUGAUCUUGCAAACACUCACUCCUCGCCAAAAAAGUGACAAUGUCAAGAGAAU
This is a long non-coding RNA of Rhodamnia argentea, 888 nucleotides long. RefSeq lists it as uncharacterized. The transcript is spliced from 2 exons. NCBI's taxonomy places the organism in Eukaryota, Viridiplantae, Streptophyta, Magnoliopsida, Myrtales, Myrtaceae. The record is from RefSeq and is a predicted model, not a curated record.